This 66-nucleotide transfer RNA is filed under the name Coenobita clypeatus. Its description in RNAcentral is "tRNA-Ser". The record is from RNAcentral. Lineage: Eukaryota; Metazoa; Arthropoda; Malacostraca; Decapoda; Coenobitidae.
GAUUGCUUAGUUUAAAAGAAAAUAGGUGUUUUGAAAGCAUCGGAUAAGAUAAGUUCUUAGUAAUCU